This 73-nucleotide transfer RNA is filed under the name Bos taurus (domestic cattle). It matches the Rfam family "tRNA". Rfam says of the family: Transfer RNA (tRNA) molecules are approximately 80 nucleotides in length. Their secondary structure includes four short double-helical elements and three loops (D, anti-codon, and T loops). Lineage: Eukaryota; Metazoa; Chordata; Mammalia; Artiodactyla; Bovidae. The record is from Rfam by way of RNAcentral. RNAcentral also lists the same sequence under 3 other names.
UCCCUGGUGGUCCAGUGGUUAAGACUCUGUGCUUGGAAGGCAACGGGCACAGGUUUGAUCCCUGGUUGGGGAA